RNAcentral lists this transfer RNA (88 nucleotides) under Pseudoxanthomonas sp. 3HH-4. Its description in RNAcentral is "tRNA-Ser". It matches the Rfam family "tRNA". From Rfam's summary of the family: Transfer RNA (tRNA) molecules are approximately 80 nucleotides in length. Their secondary structure includes four short double-helical elements and three loops (D, anti-codon, and T loops). The record is from RNAcentral. Lineage: Bacteria; Pseudomonadati; Pseudomonadota; Gammaproteobacteria; Lysobacterales; Lysobacteraceae. RNAcentral also lists the same sequence under 3 other names.
GGAGAGGUGGCAGAGUGGUUGAAUGUACCUGACUCGAAAUCAGGCAUACGUUAAUAGCGUAUCGAGGGUUCGAAUCCCUCCCUCUCCG